This 28-nucleotide non-coding RNA is filed under the name Rattus norvegicus (Norway rat). Lineage: Eukaryota; Metazoa; Chordata; Mammalia; Rodentia; Muridae. The record is from RNAcentral.
UUACCAAAUAAAUAUUGCAUGUGACACA